This 59-nucleotide transfer RNA is filed under the name Rosa chinensis. RNAcentral describes it as "tRNA-Asn". It matches the Rfam family "tRNA", at positions 8 to 63 of the family's 71-position model. Rfam says of the family: Transfer RNA (tRNA) molecules are approximately 80 nucleotides in length. Their secondary structure includes four short double-helical elements and three loops (D, anti-codon, and T loops). RNAcentral also lists the same sequence under 3 other names. Lineage: Eukaryota; Viridiplantae; Streptophyta; Magnoliopsida; Rosales; Rosaceae. The record is from RNAcentral.
UAGCUUAGUGGUAGAGCGGUCGGCUGUUAACUGAUUGGUCGUAGGUUCAAUUCCUACUU